RNAcentral lists this ribosomal RNA (494 nucleotides) under uncultured bacterium. Its description in RNAcentral is "partial 16S ribosomal RNA". It matches the Rfam family "Bacterial small subunit ribosomal RNA", at positions 28 to 507 of the family's 1533-position model. The record is from RNAcentral.
GACGAACGCUGGCGGCGCGCUUAACACAUGCAAGUCGAACGGAAAGGCCUGCUUUCCCUUGUGGAUUGCGGGUACUCGCGUGGCGAACGGGUGAGUAACACGUGAGUGAUCUGCCCCCAACUUGGGUAUAAGCCUGGGAAACUGGGUCUAAUUCCCGAUAGGACUGCAGGGUGGUGCCUGUGGUGGAAAACGAUUUUCUAGUGGUUGGGGAUGAGCUCGCGGCCUAUCAGCUUGUUGGUGGGGUAAUGGCCUACCAAGGCGGCGACGGGUAGCCGGCCUGGGAGGGUGGACGGCCACAUUGGGACUGAGAUACGGCCCAGACUCCUACGGGAGGCAGCAGUGGGGAAUAUUGCACAAUGGGCGGAAGCCUGAUGCAGCGACGCCGCGUGGGGGAUGACGGCCUUCGGGUUGUAAACUCCUUUCGACCGCGAGGAAGCCACCUGGUUGGAAGGGUGGUGACGGUAGUGGUAGAAGAAGCACCGGCUAACUACGUG